UUCUUCUUCAACGAAAUCGAACCAGAAACGCAAAUUGAUCGGCAAUGUCAUGGCUGAGAUCGGCGGUGAACAAAGCAGUAGAAGUUGGCGGUGCUGGCAACCGAAACCUAUCUCGCAACCUUCGUUACUACGCCGAUUCCGUCGUCCAACAAGCCUCUAAUGCCGUUUCCGGCGGCGCCAAGUUAUUCCUCGAUCGCUCUG
RNAcentral lists this long non-coding RNA (201 nucleotides) under Nicotiana benthamiana. RNAcentral describes it as "long non-coding RNA (NBEN_LNC031445)". The record is from RNAcentral. Lineage: Eukaryota; Viridiplantae; Streptophyta; Magnoliopsida; Solanales; Solanaceae.